AGAGUUUGAUCAUGGCUCAGGACGAACGCUGGCGGCGCGCCUAAUCCAUGCAAGUCGAGCGACGCAUUCCUUAGCCCGUAAGGGCGGGUUUGACGGAGCGGCGAACGGGUGCGUAACACGUGACCAAUCUGCCCCGAAGACCGGGAUAGCCCGGGGAAACCCGGAUUAAUACCGGAUGAUCUCAUCACCACGCAUGUGGAGAUGAGCAAAGGUUCAGGCGCUUCGGGAUGAGGUCGCGGCCCAUCAGCUUGUUGGUGAGGUAACGGCUCACCAAGGCGAUUACGGGUAGCUGGUCUGAGAGGACGAUCAGCCACACUGGAACUGAGAUACGGUCCAGACUCCUACGGGAGGCAGCAGGAGGGAAUCUUGCGCAAUGGGCGAAAGCCUGACGCAGCGACGCCGCGUGGGGGAUGAAUGCCUUAGGGUUGUAAACCCCUUUCACGAGGGAAGAAACUGACGGUACCUCGAGAAGAAGCCCCGGCCAACUACGUGCCAGCAGCCGCGGUAAUACGUAGGGGGCGAGCGUUGUCCGGAUUUAUUGGGCGUAAAGGGCUCGUAGGCGGCUUGGCAAGUCGGCCGUGAAAACCCAGGGCUCAACUCUGGGACGCCGGUCGAUACUGCCAUGGCUAGGGUCCGGUAGAGGGGAAUGGAAUUCCCGGUGUAGCGGUGAAAUGCGCAGAUAUCGGGAGGAACACCAGUAGCGAAGGCGGUUCCCUGGGCCGGCACCGACGCUGAGGAGCGAAAGCGUGGGGAGCAAACAGGAUUAGAUACCCUGGUAGUCCACGCCGUAAACGUUGGGUACUAGGCGUGGCGUCUUAUCAACGGACGCCGUGCUCGAAGCUAACGCGUUAAGUACCCCGCCUGGGGAGUACGGCCGCAAGGCUAAAACUCGAAGGAAUUGACGGGA
RNAcentral lists this ribosomal RNA (907 nucleotides) under uncultured sponge bacterium. RNAcentral describes it as "bacterial SSU rRNA". It matches the Rfam family "Bacterial small subunit ribosomal RNA", at positions 8 to 918 of the family's 1533-position model. The record is from RNAcentral.